AGUAGUGACGGCGGCUAGGGAUUGCGCUCAUCACCAUCUACUGGUUCCUGCUAGUUUCUUUGCUUCAUCCCGUCUGGAGCAGAUCCUGUUUUGGUCAGCAGGGUUGUGACCAGAAAACAAGUCCUGUUGGUCUCCCACCUCAAUCUGACGGAUAUUAUUUUGACACAGUGUUACAUUUCUGGUUCCAGCUAAGAAAGGUGAUGAAAAGUUGCUUUUUAGACAAAAUAAGCCCUUACCCUCAAAGGAAAGUUGCUCCUGAAAUACAAGCAGAAAUCAGUGGAGUCCUGGUUGCUUCCUCUGCAAAUCAGUGAUGGCUUAUACAAAGAACAGUAUUAAAGACUCCGCGGCUGGACGCGGUGGGUCUCGCCUGUAAUCCCAGCACUUUGGGAGACCGAGGUGAGUGGAUCGCCUGAGGUCAGGAGUUCAAGACCAGCCUGGCCAACAUGGUGAAACCCCGACUCUACUAAAAAUACAAAAAAUUACCUCGGGGUGUGGUGGCAGACAACUGUAAUCCCAGCUACUCGGGAGGCUGAGGCAGGAGAAUAGCUUGAACCCGGGAGGCGGAGGUUGCACUGAGCCGAGAUCACGCCACUGCACUCCAGCCUGGGCAACAAGAGCAAAACUCCAUCUCAA
This is a long non-coding RNA of Pan troglodytes (chimpanzee), 633 nucleotides long. RefSeq lists it as uncharacterized. Lineage: Eukaryota; Metazoa; Chordata; Mammalia; Primates; Hominidae. The transcript is spliced from 3 exons. The record is from RefSeq and is a predicted model, not a curated record.